GCAUGGGUGAAUUCUGCAUUGGCUUUUAUAGUAGCUAAUGGAGUCAGACACCAUGCAAGAACAAAGUUCCUGUCUUGGGCAUUCCUAAUGGCAUGCUGUGUCUCGGGCAGCAUGCCUGCAUCAAAAACAGGUACACAG
Small nucleolar RNA from Heteronotia binoei (common prickly gecko), 138 nucleotides. RefSeq annotates it as small nucleolar RNA SNORA15. The transcript has a single exon. NCBI's taxonomy places the organism in Eukaryota, Metazoa, Chordata, Lepidosauria, Squamata, Gekkonidae. The record is from RefSeq and is a predicted model, not a curated record.